UUCUACAAGUAUACAGAAACCAGCUGUUCCCUCGUUCAUUUUUAUGAUAUCCCAUUAGCUUCUUUUGUCUCCUUUCUUUCACUUCUAUUCUCCUGUUUGCAAUUAUUCAAGCCACAUCUAACAAAUCUAUCUAUCAUCAGAAACUUUUCGUUUCAUAAGCCCAGAAUCUCUCACUUGGAAGCAUCUGUUUUACCACACUUUGGUAAGUAAUCUUCUAUAUAUUUAUUAUGUUCUUAAAUUAUUUAGAAAAUAAUUGGAUGAGUUGUGGAAUAUGUUAGCUAAUAUUGUCACAGAUGAUUUAUCUUUGCUUUAUAAAUCUUCUAUUUUUAUCAUUAUAAGGUUUUAGAGGAAGGAAAACACUUGCAUAAACAAGUACCAAAUUAAUCAUCACGCUGAAAAUUAAUGAAUGAGAGGAUAAAAUAAUACAAUAUUAUAUUCACUUCAUUUUGGCAAUGGUUUAGCCAUUAUGAAAAUUAAAAUCAUAAAAAAUCAUUAAUUAAAAAAAUUAGAGAAAAAAAAAAAGAAGCAAAGGUUAGGCACUGUUAAACUUGGCACGCGCAGUUGGGCUCUUAAUUUUUUUUUUGUUUUGCUAGGAAAUAUAUGUCAAAUUUUUUCUGUCAUAGCAACAAAAAUAUGUUGCUUCACACAAAAUAGAAGUUUAUUUUAUAAAUUCACCUUAGAUAAUGCCUUUAGCACUAUCACCUUUUAGAGUGUGCUUUAAGCCCUCGAUCUUAGAUAGCACGUUGUUUAGCCCCUACCUCCUUUAGAUGGUGUUUUUCGCAUUAUCACCUUCUGAGUGCGCUCUUGAACCCUUGUCUUCUAGAUAGUGCGCUGUUUAGCCCCUAUCUCUUUUAGAUGGUAUUUUUAGCACUAUCAUCUUCUAAUUGCACCUUAAGCCUUGCCUUUCAGAUAGCAUGUUGUUUAGCUCCUAUCUUUUUUAAGUAGUGUUUUUGACACUAUCAUUUUAUAAGUGCGCCUUUGAUCCCUCACCUUUUAAAUAAUAUGUUCUUUAUCCCUCAUCUCUUUUAGAUAAUGCUUUUAGAAUUAUUAUCUCUUAGAGUGCGUCUUUGAGCCUUUGCCUUUUAGAUAUUGCGUUGUUUAACCCCCUAUCUCCCUUAGAUAGUGCAUUUGGCAUUAUUGCCUUUUAGAGCGCACCCUUAAGUCCUUACCUCCUAGAUAAUGUGUUGUUUAGCCUCAAUCUCCUUAAAAUAGUGUUUUUGGCACUAUCAUCUUUUGAAUGCGCCUUUGAGUCCUUCGCUUCUAGAUAGUGUGUUGUUUAACCUCUAUCUCCUUUAGAUAGUGCUUUUGGCACUAUCGCAUUCUGAGUGUGCUGUUGAAUCCUCACCUUCCAAAUAAUAUGUUGUUUAGACCUUAUCUUCUUUAGAUAGUACUUUUGGCAUUAUCACCAUUAAAAGUGUGUCUUUGAGCCCCUUGUUUUUUUGAUAAUGUACUAUUUUAUCGUUAUCUCUCUUAGAUAUUUGCUUUUGGCACUAUCACCUAUGAAGUGUGCUUUUGAGCCCUUGUUUCUAACAAUUUUGUUAGAUAUGUCAUUCUUGGAGAUAUAUUUGGAUAUCUCAUCACUUUAAGAAGGAUUAACCACGUUUUGAUUUGGUAAAUCCACAAAUUUCCUUUGAAGUUUUUUUAUCCUAACUUUAAAAAAAUUUCAAAUCUUUUUUUUCUUUAUAGACUUACUAUCCAAAGUCUCUUAUGAAAAAUUAUGUCAUAAACAUUAUAAAAAGAGGACAAAUGUUAUAACCCAAAUUUAGGUUCCCAAAAUUAUAAUUUUCUUUUUUAAAAUAAUAAUAAUAAUAUAAAAAAAAAGUUGAAGAAAAAAAAAUAGUAGGAGGAAAAGUAACUUGGUUAGCAAGAACAAUUUGAAGUAGGAUUUAUAUGAAUAAAUUAGAGAUGGGAAAACUAAACUGGAUCUCUGACAUAUUGGAAACUCAAUUUCACUUUUGAAGGAUCUAAAUGUGAAAGACAAUGCGAAUUCAAGGUUAACUUAAGUGAAUCUUAGAUGAAUUUGUAUAAAAAUUAAGAUUGAGAACUUAAUUAGAUUUUGAUAGGUUGAUCUGAUCUAAUCAUAAGCCCAAUUAAAGAUUUAAUUAAGUUUAAUUUAGGCUAUAAUUAAACAAAUUAACUACGAAUUUAAUGAGUCAAAUUAAUUUUAUUAAGAACUUAAUCGGUGAAAAAUUAAGUUUGAAAAUCUAAUUUGAGUUUAAUUGAGAAAAUUUCAAUUUUGAAGGACCAAAUUUAAUUCUUACAAACUUAAUCGAAUGAAAUUGCAAACAAAUCAAAGUUUAGGGGUGAGUUAAGAAUUAAUUUGAAGGAAUUCAGAACGAUCACAGUGUAAUAAGCAAUAGAAACUAGGGGUUCAAUAAAAAAUUGGUAAGGGCAAAAUUGAGAAAAUUCCUGGGAAUUAUACUCAAUCAAGGGGGCUAAUCGCAGAAUUUCAAAUGUCGUUUCGAUUUAAAUAAAACACCACGUUUUUUCUAAUACAAUGUCGUUUUGUGUAAAAAAACACACAGAAGAGGAAUGGCGCCGUUUUCUAAAACAGCGCCGUCAACCUUUCCCCUGGAAACUACAAAAAUGGCAGCCCUUUUUAUUCAUUUAAACCUCCUUCAUCCCUUCCCCUACAUAACAAUUAUACAUAACAUUAUUAUAUUCAUAUAAAUAUAUAUUUAUUAUUAAUAAAGAUUUAAUUUUAUAAAUUAGCAACAUUAAUUAAUUGGCCCUAUAAUUGAAUCACCUGCAUUCCUACACAACUUCGUAUACAGAAACCAGCUGUUCCCUCGUUCAUUUUUCUGAUUAGCUUCUUUUGUCUCCUUUCUUUCACUUCCAUUCUCCUGUUUGCAAUUAUUCAAGCCACAUCUAACAAAUCUAUCUAUCACCAGAAACUUUUCGUUUCAUAAGCCCAGAAUCUCUCACUUGGAAGCAUCUGUUUUAC
RNAcentral lists this long non-coding RNA (2944 nucleotides) under Populus tremula. Its description in RNAcentral is "long non-coding RNA (PTRE_LNC001219)". Lineage: Eukaryota; Viridiplantae; Streptophyta; Magnoliopsida; Malpighiales; Salicaceae. The record is from RNAcentral.